UUUGGGGUACACAGUGGUUUUUGGGGUGCAGUGCCUGGUGUACACGGUGUUUGGUUUUGGGGUACACUCUGUUUUGGGGUGCAGGGCCUGGUGUACACGGUGACCGACGUGCCCGAGCUGCACCAGUGGAUGCUGCAGCAUUUUGGGGAGCACCCCCUGUUCGAGCCCCUGCCCCCCGCACAGCUGGCCGCGGACCCGCUGCUGCCGCUGCUGCCGGCGGUGACCGAGGAGGGGCAGCGGGCGCGGCGGGCGGGGCGCCCCCCCUGCACCGCCGUGUUCCGCCGCCGCCCCGACCCCCCCCCGGCGCCGUGACCCCCCCGUGCCACCGCCCCUUUUGUAAUAAAGUCACAAAAUGUC
Long non-coding RNA from Pyrgilauda ruficollis (rufous-necked snowfinch), 357 nucleotides. RefSeq lists it as uncharacterized. Lineage: Eukaryota; Metazoa; Chordata; Aves; Passeriformes; Passeridae. The transcript has 2 exons. The record is from RefSeq and is a predicted model, not a curated record.